RNAcentral lists this ribosomal RNA (492 nucleotides) under uncultured bacterium. RNAcentral's name for it is "partial 16S ribosomal RNA". It matches the Rfam family "Bacterial small subunit ribosomal RNA", at positions 29 to 507 of the family's 1533-position model. The record is from RNAcentral.
AGUGAACGCUGGUGGUAGGCCUAACACAUGCAAGUCGAACGGCAGCACAGUAAGAGCUUGCUCUUACGGGUGGCGAGUGGCGGACGGGUGAGGAAUACAUCGGAAUCUACUUUUUCGUGGGGGAUAACGUAGGGAAACUUACGCUAAUACCGCAUACGACCUACGGGUGAAAGCAGGGGAUCUUCGGACCUUGCGCGAUUGAAUGAGUCGAUGUCGGAUUAGCUAGUUGGCGGGGUAAAGGCCCACCAAGGCGACGAUCCGUAGCUGGUCUGAGAGGAUGAUCAGCCACACUGGAACUGAGACACGGUCCAGACUCCUACGGGAGGCAGCAGUGGGGAAUAUUGGACAAUGGGCGCAAGCCUGAUCCAGCCAUACCGCGUGGGUGAAGAAGGCCUUCGGGUUGUAAAGCCCUUUUGUUGGGAAAGAAAAGCAGCAGGUUAAUACCCCGCUGUUCUGACGGUACCCAAAGAAUAAGCACCGGCUAACUUCGUG